AGGGGUAUAGUUUAAUGGUAGAAUCGCGAACUUCAAAUUCGCCAGCGCAUGUUCGAUUCGUGCUGCCCUUG
RNAcentral lists this transfer RNA (71 nucleotides) under Microbotryum lychnidis-dioicae. Its description in RNAcentral is "tRNA-Trp". It matches the Rfam family "tRNA". Rfam says of the family: Transfer RNA (tRNA) molecules are approximately 80 nucleotides in length. Lineage: Eukaryota; Fungi; Basidiomycota; Microbotryomycetes; Microbotryales; Microbotryaceae. RNAcentral also lists the same sequence under 3 other names. The record is from RNAcentral.